RNAcentral lists this unclassified non-coding RNA (220 nucleotides) under plant metagenome. RNAcentral describes it as "partial contains small subunit ribosomal RNA, internal transcribed spacer 1, and 5.8S ribosomal RNA". The record is from RNAcentral.
UUUCCGUAGGUGAACCUGCGGAAGGACCAUUACAGAGUUCAUGCCCUCACGGGUAGAUCUCCCACCCUUGAAUAUUUAUACCUUAGUUGCUUUGGCAGGCCGUGGAAACACCAUGGGCUCCGGCUUAUGCGUGCCUGCCAGAGGAAACAAACUCUGCUUUUAGUGAUGUCUGAGUACUAUAUAAUAGUUAAAACUUUCAACAACGGAUCUCUUGGUUCUG